CACGUCCCCGUGCGCCAUCUUGGCCCUAUGGAGACCCCACAAAGCCCCCAAUAAAUCCCACAGAUAAGCCCUCAACCUCCAGCCCCACAUGGGCUGCCUCCAUUGAGUCCCAUUGCCUCUCUGUCUCCCCCUAGUGGCCGGGUGGGGUAUUGCUAAGCUGCCCCAUUCACACAGCUGGAUCUGGAGGUAGAAGUGCCCCCUUUCUUCCCACGCAGCCCAUAAUGGGACGCAGUUCUGGUUCUGACCCGCUUUGAUAUGACGAAUGGCUUCCAGAUAAGCCCGGUGCCGGUCCGACGGGCCGCGGAAUGGACGGAUGGUUCGUUUCAAGGCGUAAAGGCGGCCGUCAACCAGGCUGCGCACCUAUAAGUGGGGGGAAAAUAGGGGUUAUGGGGCACUAUGGGGCAAUAUGGUGUGUCUAUGGGUCUCUAUGGGGCUCUAUGGGUGUCUAUGGGGCUCUAUGGGGUGUCUAUGGGGCUCUAUGGGUGUCUAUGGGGUGUCUAUGGGGCUCUAUGGGUGUCUAUGGGGCUCUAUGGGUGUCUAUGGGGCUCUAUGGGGUGUCUAUGGAGUGUCUAUGGGGCUCUAUGGGGCAAUAUGGGGUCUCUAUAGGGUUCUAUGGGGUUCUAUGGAGCUUUAUGGGGCUCUAUGGGGAUCUAUGGGUCUCUAUGGGGCUCUAUGGGGUCUCUAUGGGUGUCUAUGGGGCUCUAUGGGGUAUCUAUGGGGCUCUAUGGGUAUCUAUGGGGUGUCUAUGGGUCUCUAUGGGGCUCUAUGGGGUGUCUAUGGGGCUCUAUGGGUGUCUAUGGGGCUCUAUGGGGUAUCUAUGGGGUUCUAUGGGGCUCUAUGGGGUGUCUAUGGGGCUCUAUGGGGCAAUAUGGGUCACUAUGGGGUAUCUAUAGGGCUCUAUGGGGUAUCUAUGGGGUUCUAUGGGGUGUCUAUGGGGCUCUAUGGGGUAUCUAUGGGGCUCUAUGGGGUGUCUAUGGGGCUCUAUGGGGUAUCUAUGGGGUUCUAUGGGGUGUCUAUGGGGCUCU
RNAcentral lists this long non-coding RNA (1025 nucleotides) under Coturnix japonica (Japanese quail). RNAcentral's name for it is "lncRNA (ENSCJPG00005001413.1)". Lineage: Eukaryota; Metazoa; Chordata; Aves; Galliformes; Phasianidae. The record is from RNAcentral.